CCUACGGGAGGCUGCAGUGGGGAAUAUUGCACAAUGGGCGCAAGCCUGAUGCAGCCAUGCCGCGUGUGUGAAGAAGGCCUUCGGGUUGUAAAGCACUUUCAGCGGGGAGGAAGGCGGUGAGGUUAAUAACCUCAUCGAUUGACGUUACCCGCAGAAGAAGCACCGGCUAACUCCGUGCCAGUAGCCGCGGUAAUACAGAGGGUGCAAGCGUUAAUCGGAAUUACUGGGCGUAAAGCGCACGCAGGCGGUCUGUCAAAUCGGAUGUGAAAUCCCCGGGCUCAACCUGGGAACUGCAUUCGAAACUGGCAGGCUAGAGUCUUGUAGAGGGGGGUAGAAUUCCAGGUGUAGCGGUGAAAUGCGUAGAGAUCUGGAGGAAUACCGGUGGCGAAGGCGGCCCCCUGGACAAAGACUGACGCUCAGGUGCGAAAGCGUGGGGAGCAAACAGGAUUAGAUACCCGAGUAGUC
Molecule: ribosomal RNA, 465 nt
Filed under: uncultured Klebsiella sp.
Lineage: Bacteria; Pseudomonadati; Pseudomonadota; Gammaproteobacteria; Enterobacterales; Enterobacteriaceae
Description: bacterial SSU rRNA
Rfam family: Bacterial small subunit ribosomal RNA
Source: RNAcentral